Long non-coding RNA from Sarcophilus harrisii (Tasmanian devil), 641 nucleotides. RefSeq lists it as uncharacterized. The transcript is spliced from 2 exons. The record is from RefSeq and is a predicted model, not a curated record. Lineage: Eukaryota; Metazoa; Chordata; Mammalia; Dasyuromorphia; Dasyuridae.
AUGGAGGUGGAACCGAGGUCAUAAUCAGGACAAUAAGCAGCUUCUAUGUAUGUGAAAGGGAGGGAAAGGAUAGGUGGUCAUCAUCAGAAACCGAGAUACUGACAUUCAACAUCCUGGAGAUAGUGUCAUUCCUAGAGACAAUGACAUUCAAUAACACCAGAAUGCAGCUAAAAUGUCUUAGAAACGAAGGUUAUCAGAGUUGAACAAGUUGAGGAAUUUGGAGGUCAUAUGUCACCACACCAUGACUACUCAAUGAAUUUCAGUCAUUAAGCAAACACCAGAGUGGGAGAAGGUCAGUGCCUACCCAGGAGUAACAAGCACAGGAUCCAAACCGAGAGCCGAGCCAACCUGGAUCUAUAUCUGUAUCUAUAAAACAAUGCAGACAGCCUCAGGAACUGGUAGAUACACCCCCUCACUGGAGAUCUUUCAAGAAAAGACUGGAGAUAUACUGUACCAGAGAUAACUGUGAGAUGGACAGAAAGGCUACCAAGAUCCCUUCCAAUUCUCUUUCCCUCCUGAUGUAAACCUUGGAGAUAUUUAAUGAGGAAAAAAAGAACGGCUGACAUGACGCCUAUAUGAAACCUCAUUCCUGUGUUUUCUAAAUAUAAUAUCCCCUUAAUAAAUAAUUUCAAAUUUGAAUU